CACCGCUCCCGGAAGCUCGGUGAACACGUAGUACAUCACGCUCUGGCCCGCCAUGAAGUGCUGCUCCGCCGUCUCCAGGAAGCGCUCCAGCUUGAGAGAGGCUGUGCAACUCACCCACAGCAGCCGCGAUCUGGGCCUCCUCCUAUGUUCCCCUGUUCAGACCCCUGCUCCAUGAACUGGGCGGACCCAUGUCCACUAAAGUGCUGAGGAAGUGACAGCGUGUGAUUUCUGAGGCUAGAUCAUAAAGGGCACAGCAGUUCUCACCUCACUCUUCUGCCUGGGUUACUGCAGAGUAAGCCAGCUACCAGUAAGCCACCCCAGCAACCCUUUGGAGAGGCAUGCGUGGAGAGCAGCCAAGGCCCUGGUGGUCCCCGGCCUCCUUGCCGUGUGAGUGAACCGUGCUGGAAGUGGGUUUUCUGGCUCCAGACCUCAGACACUGCAGCCUGUAUGGCGUCUUCCCUGAGACCUCAUAUGACCUCAAACUCAUACACUGGGUCUGUGGAAGGGAGCAGAUAACCUCUCUGUUUCUAGUUCUUAGACUAAGAGGAACUGGACACCAGGAGCCUCAUACCAGGACUGCCCAGCCGAGCCACUCGAUUCCUGACCCACAUGGCCCUUGAGAUGACAAGUGAUUGCUGCUUAAAGUCACUGAGUUCUGGAAUAAUUUACAUCAUGGCAAUAGAAAAUGUAGAGAGGGGACAGCCUAUGUAAGAGCAUACAAGGCCAGAGAUUCAGGCUGGAGGAAAAAGAUGUCUAUUCUUCCCUGUGUGCAUGGACGAGCCUGGAAACAGAUCUUGGGUGGGCUGAGAAGCAGAGCUCAUGUGAUGAAGAGUGCCUGGAAAGGGCAGGUGCCAAAAGAGCACCACUCCCCAUCUGCCCGACCUUCUGCGAAACAAGCCCGCCCUUGAAGGAGAGAAAACGCUCUUCUAAAAAUGGAAGAAAAGACACAGAACAGCUUGUCCCUUUCCAUCCAAUUAAAAACCUCGUGAGACUGAACUAGAUUAAAAACAAAACUCUCCAGCGAAGCCGCAGGCGCCUCCAAGAUAGGGAGUCCACCACCAAUAAAGUACGGCAGAUGCCAGCA
RNAcentral lists this long non-coding RNA (1084 nucleotides) under Homo sapiens (human). RNAcentral describes it as "PREDICTED lncRNA (TCONS_00002828)". Lineage: Eukaryota; Metazoa; Chordata; Mammalia; Primates; Hominidae. The record is from RNAcentral.